AGUGAACGCUGGCGGUAGGCCUAACACAUGCAAGUCGAACGGCAGCACAGUAAGAGCUUGCUCUUACGGGUGGCGAGUGGCGGACGGGUGAGGAAUACAUCGGAAUCUACUUUUUCGUGGGGGAUAACGUAGGGAAACUUACGCUAAUACCGCAUACGACCUACGGGUGAAAGCAGGGGAUCUUCGGACCUUGCGCGAUUGAAUGAGCCGAUGUCGGAUUAGCUAGUUGGCGGGGUAACGGCCCACCAAGGCGACGAUCCGUAGCUGGUCUGAGAGGAUGAACAGCGACAGUGGGACUGAGACACGGUCCAGACUCCUACGUGAGGCAGCAGUGGGGAAUAUUGGACAAUGGGCGCAAGCCUGAUCCAGCCAUACCGCGUGGGUGAAGAAGGCCUUCGGGUUGUAAAGCCCUUUUGUUGGGAAAGAAAAGCAGCAGGUUAAUACCCCGCUGUUCUGACGGUACCCAAAGAAUAAGCACCGGCUAACUUCGUG
Molecule: ribosomal RNA, 492 nt
Filed under: uncultured bacterium
Lineage: Bacteria
Description: partial 16S ribosomal RNA
Rfam family: Bacterial small subunit ribosomal RNA
Source: RNAcentral